Long non-coding RNA from Zea mays, 669 nucleotides. RefSeq lists it as uncharacterized. Lineage: Eukaryota; Viridiplantae; Streptophyta; Magnoliopsida; Poales; Poaceae. The record is from RefSeq and is a predicted model, not a curated record. The transcript has 2 exons.
CAGGCCAGUUCAGUCAGGGCAGGGGUCUCUCCUAGCUCAAGUUCGAUGGAAUAGCUGGAUCCGUGACCGUGCAACCACCUCAACCGCAUUUCAGGGGCAAGGUCUUCAUCCCGAAUCCUCGGCCUCGUCUCCCAUCUCGUGCCCUACAUAAAAUCCAGACGCCCCGCUUUACCCCGUUCACGACGGCUCCGCGCUUGGGGCUGUUGAAGCCGCCUCCAGUGUUGGGCGAGGUGCCGGAUGUGCGUUGGUCAGUCUGCGGCCGCCACUGUCUCCACACUGGUGUCGUGCUUGGUUUGGUGACAUUGAAGAUUAUCUCUGGGGCACGACGAUGUCGUUCAUCGCUGCUGCAGCUUGGUUGCCUCCGAUGGCUGCUUGUCAAGCGCCGGGGCCUCACGCCUCGGGACAACUUGCGCGUCGUCAUCAUCCAACUCCAUUCCCGUCGCAGUCACGGUCAAGAACAGGUACCACAGGAUGAGGGGCAUGGAGGUGGCUGCGAUGUGUUCGUGAGAGGUCUAGGUCGUCGUCUCCCAGUCAACUUUGGGUUGCUGGAUCGUUGUCUCCUUACGAUGUAUUUAUUUAUUUUAUAUAGAACUCCUUUUAUAUAGUAAAGUUGUGACAUUCGUUUCUGUACUAUGAUUCAUGAUAUGCGUGAGACUUUUGGUUUCAGCA